UGAACGCGAAGGACCUUACCAAGGCUUGACAUACACCGGAAAACCCUGGAGACAGGGUCCCCCUUGUGGUCGGUGUACAGGUGGUGCAUGGCUGUCGUCAGCUCGUGUCGUGAGAUGUUGGGUUAAGUCCCGCAACGAGCGCAACCCUUGUCCCGUGUUGCCAGCAGGCCCUUGUGGUGCUGGGGACUCACGGGAGACCGCCGGGGUCAACUCGGAGGAAGGUGGGGACGACGUCAAGUCAUCAUGCCCCUUAUGUCUUGGGCUGCACACGUGCUACAAUGGCCGGUACAAUGAGCUGCGAUACCGCGAGGUGGAGCGAAUCUCAAAAAGCCGGUCUCAGUUCGGAUUGGGGUCUGCAACUCGACCCCAUGAAGUCGGAGUCGCUAGUAAUCGCAGAUCAGCAUUGCUGCGGUGAAUACGUUCCCGGGUCUUGUACACACGCA
Molecule: ribosomal RNA, 443 nt
Filed under: bacterium CPTAC3B
Lineage: Bacteria
Description: bacterial SSU rRNA
Rfam family: Bacterial small subunit ribosomal RNA
Source: RNAcentral